This 465-nucleotide ribosomal RNA is filed under the name uncultured bacterium. RNAcentral's name for it is "partial 16S ribosomal RNA". It matches the Rfam family "Bacterial small subunit ribosomal RNA", at positions 28 to 507 of the family's 1533-position model. The record is from RNAcentral.
GACGAACGCUGGCGGCGUGCUUAACACAUGCAAGUCGUACGGUAAGGCCCUUUCUGGGGUACACGAGUGGCGAACGGGUGAGUAACACGUGAGUAACCUGCCCACAACUUUGGGAUAACGCUAGGAAACUGGUGCUAAUACUGGAUAUGUGCUCCUGCUGCAUGGUGGGGGUUGGAAAGCUCCGGCGGUUGUGGAUGGACUCGCGGCCUAUCAGCUUGUUGGUGGGGUAGUGGCCUACCAAGGCGGCGACGGGUAGCCGGCCUGAGAGGGUGACCGGCCACAGUGGGACUGAGAUACGGCCCAGACUCCUACGGGAGGCAGCAGUGGGGAAUAUUGCACAAUGGGCGCAAGCCUGAUGCAGCAACGCCGCGUGCGGGAUGACGGCCUUCGGGUUGUAAACCGCUUUCAGCAGGGACGAAGCUUUUUGUGACGGUACCUGCAGAAGAAGCACCGGCUAACUACGUG